UCUAUUGCGUGGGAACGCAAAACUAUUAAAAAACAUAUUUUCCCACCCAGACCUUUUAGGGGCUCCCUAGACGGCAAACAACAAAAUUACAACAAAAGGUCUAAUGCGCUAUUAAGCUUGCAAACUGAGGGGAUGUGGGUGUUACAACACCCCCACUUUGGCUGAAACACGACCCCCCCGCCACACACACACACACACAUGCUUUUGACAGAUUAUAACGAUACGAAAAUAUGUCCUGCUACAGUACAAGAGCGAAUCGAACGGUAGCUCUAAUCUGGGAGGGAAAAAAAACACAGAAGCAGAUUUACGCUACACACAUAGGUCCGUUAGUUUAAUUGAAAGACCACUCAGCCAAUCACAGCAUAGGUAUUACCGUCAGUGACCAGGGAACGAGAGCUGCUCCUCUUCAAAUCUGCAGUCUGUCUCUUGCAGUAUCAUAUGUUCCUAUCAUAGAGCUGUGUCUUGAAGCAAUCAUUCUUUUUUGUCAUGCAAUAUUGGGAUGCACAAAAGGAAAAGACGGGAAGAUAGAUUCCUUUUUCAAGCAAAAUCAAGAUAGGCAGUUGCAGCAGACCUCUACUUCGGUGAGACAAGAGGAUGUAGUUAAUGUUGCAUAGGUGAGCAAUCAAAUAGGUUUGAAGUAUCCCAUAAUAAUUUAUCUGGUUGUUUGUGAAAGAGGCAUGUUGGAGGGAGAGAAUAUGGCUAAGUGAGGGAGGGGUGAAAUUCAGGGAGUGAUAAAAUUCCACAAUUUAAUUUUAAAGGUUUUAAUUAGGAGGAUGUAUGUGAGAAAGGUGUGGCCAGGAGUACCCAAGAGUUCAAUAAACCCAAUCAACCAGACCCUAAAUUCAUUGUCAAGCAGUCACUGCCUAAAUUUACUCUUACUGUACUUUCCAGACAAAAUGGUACAAAAGAUUUCCAUGGCUCCAUGUUAAUCCUGGUGUGGAAGGGAUACUGUGCUUUUACUGUAGUAAAGGUUUUAAUUCAUCAUCACCCCUACCCAGCCCUAACCUUAAGCAUAAAUAACAAAACAAAAUGCAAGUUUUUUAAUUGCACUGUAGUAAAAUUGAAUUUGUCUUUGUUGGACCAGAAUAAUGUCCCUACAAGGUCAAAAUAACAGGUGUUUUGUUACUUGUGGUGUCAUUUGGAGCCCACACAGUCACACACACAUACACAACCUUAUUCAUCAUGGACGUUGACGAGUCUGCAUACAGACGGGAGGCCAAACAGCUGGCCCUCUGGUGCGGUCAGAACAGCUUGGAGACCAACACGCCUAAAACGAUGGAGAUGAGAGCAGACUUCAGGAGGUGCCCCCCCCCCAGCACUGCCCCCCCUCACCCUAUGCAACAGCACUUUGUCUGCUGUGAAAAACCUUCAGGUUUCUGGGAUCCACAAUCUCCCAGGUCCCGAAGUGGGCGGCCAGCACAGACACAAUUGUGAAAAGGGCCCAACAAGGAAUGUAGUUCCUGCGCCAGCUCGGGAAGCUCAACCUGCCGCUGGAGCUGCUGAUCCAGUUCUACUCCGCAAUGAUCCAGGCUGUUCACUGCACAUCUGUCACGGUCUGAUUUGGUUUGGCCACCAAACAGGAGAGGAAGAGACUACAACGGACAGUCAGGACUGCAGAAAAAAAUCACUGGUGCUGACCUGCCCUCCAUUCAGGACUUACACAUGCCCAGAGUCAGGAGACAGGCAGGCAAAAUCACUGCAGACCCAUCAGACCCUGAUUAUAACCUGUUUGAGCUCCUCCCCUCUGGCAAGCGGUACUGAGCACUGUACGACAAAAGAACCAGACACACGAACAGUUUCAUUCCACAGGACAUCACUUAAGUGUCAAGGACAGUACUUGUGCAAUAUUCUGCUAUCACUAAGCAUCCACUGUACCUCAUGUAUAUAUAUAGUAACCAGCACCUUUGCACCAUGACCCUCUGGCUUAUGUCUGUUCUGUACGUACUGUACCUAAUUCUUUUUUGUAGUCCUGUUUUUUACUGUAUGUCUGUCCUGUUUAUACUGAGAAUGACAAAAAAUCGGAGAAA
Paramormyrops kingsleyae is the source of this 2027-nucleotide long non-coding RNA. RefSeq lists it as uncharacterized. The record is from RefSeq and is a predicted model, not a curated record. Lineage: Eukaryota; Metazoa; Chordata; Actinopteri; Osteoglossiformes; Mormyridae.